Molecule: ribosomal RNA, 484 nt
Filed under: uncultured bacterium
Lineage: Bacteria
Description: partial 16S ribosomal RNA
Rfam family: Bacterial small subunit ribosomal RNA
Source: RNAcentral
AUUGAACGCUGGCGGCAGGCCUUACACAUGCGAGUCGAGCGGCAGAAGGGAGCUUGCCACUGGAUUCAGCGGCGGACGCGGGUGUGAAGUCUAGGAAUCUGCGUGGUGGUGGGGGGUAACGUCCGGCAAAAGGCGCUAAUAUAGCACACGUGAUGUGGGAGUAAGAGGGGGAUAUUCGGACCCCUCGCUCUCAGAUGAGCCGAGGUCGGAUUAGCUAGUUGGUGGGGUAAAGGCCUACCAAGGCGACGAUCAGUAACUGGUCUGAGAGGAUGAUCAGUCACACUGGAACUGAGACACGGUCCAGACUCCUACGGGAGGCAGCAGUGGGGAAUAUUGGACAAUGGGCGAAAGCCUGAUCCAGCCAUGCCGCGUGUGUGAAGAAGGUCUUCGGAUUGUAAAGCACUUUAGUUUGGGAGGAAGGGCAGUAAGUUAAUACCGUGCGGGGUUGACGUUACCAGCAGAAUAAGCACCGGCUAACUUCGUG